GCUCGUGUAGCUCAGGGGUAGAGCGCAUCCUUGGUAAGGAUGAGGUCGACGGUUCAAUUCCGUCCACGAGCUCCA
Molecule: transfer RNA, 75 nt
Filed under: Luteolibacter sp.
Lineage: Bacteria; Pseudomonadati; Verrucomicrobiota; Verrucomicrobiia; Verrucomicrobiales; Verrucomicrobiaceae
Also listed under: 2 other names
Description: tRNA-Thr
Rfam family: tRNA
About the family: Transfer RNA (tRNA) molecules are approximately 80 nucleotides in length. Their secondary structure includes four short double-helical elements and three loops (D, anti-codon, and T loops). Further hydrogen bonds mediate the characteristic L-shaped molecular structure. tRNAs have two regions of fundamental functional importance: the anti-codon, which is responsible for specific mRNA codon recognition, and the 3' end, to which the tRNAs corresponding amino acid is attached (by aminoacyl-tRNA synthetases). tRNAs cope with the degeneracy of the genetic code in two manners: having more than one tRNA (with a specific anti-codon) for a particular amino acid; and 'wobble' base-pairing, i.e. permitting non-standard base-pairing at the 3rd anti-codon position.
Source: RNAcentral